GAUGAACGCUGGCGGCGUGCCUAAUACAUGCAAGUCGAGCGAACAGACGAGGAGCUUGCUCCUCUGACGUUAGCGGCGGACGGGUGAGUAACACGUGGAUAACCUACCUAUAAGACUGGGAUAACUUCGGGAAACCGGAGCUAAUACCGGAUAAUAUAUUGAACCGCAUGGUUCAAUAGUGAAAGACGGUUUUGCUGUCACUUAUAGAUGGAUCCGCGCCGCAUUAGCUAGUUGGUAAGGUAACGGCUUACCAAGGCAACGAUGCGUAGCCGACCUGAGAGGGUGAUCGGCCACACUGGAACUGAGACACGGUCCAGACUCCUACGGGAGGCAGCAGUAGGGAAUCUUCCGCAAUGGGCGAAAGCCUGACGGAGCAACGCCGCGUGAGUGAUGAAGGUCUUCGGAUCGUAAAACUCUGUUAUUAGGGAAGAACAAAUGUGUAAGGAACUAUGCACUUCUUGACGGUACCUAAUCAGAAAGCCACGGCUAACUACGUG
RNAcentral lists this ribosomal RNA (497 nucleotides) under uncultured bacterium. RNAcentral describes it as "partial 16S ribosomal RNA". It matches the Rfam family "Bacterial small subunit ribosomal RNA", at positions 28 to 507 of the family's 1533-position model. The record is from RNAcentral.